Non-coding RNA from Vicugna pacos (alpaca), 1909 nucleotides. Lineage: Eukaryota; Metazoa; Chordata; Mammalia; Artiodactyla; Camelidae. The record is from RefSeq and is a predicted model, not a curated record.
UCCCCGGGUGGGCGCGCGACGCCGGGCGCGGCGAGGCGCAGGGCCGCCGAGAAGGGAGGCGUGUGAGCGCUCGAGUGGACCGGGGGAUGCGAGAGUGCGCGCACCGAGCGCGGGGCUGCACUGAGGGUCAGGCAGGAAAAAGGACGAGCGGGAAGUUAAUGCAUGUUAACACAAGAUUAAUUCUGACGUAAACCAAAACUUGUAAGACAGCCUCAAUAUAGCCUCCGCCAUCGCUCCGCUAACGCUUCGUUUUAAUUAAAACUGGGUUGAGAAACAAUUGGAUUGAAAUUAAGAAACAAUGUUCGUUGAAAAUACCAACUCUCUCAAAAACAUUAAAUUCCAUGUUCUGUGUAAUGUCUGUAAAGUACCUCGUGUUGCCACAGAUCAGUGGGCCUUUCUGUGAUUGAUGAGAAUCAAUCUGAUUUUCGAGUUAACACUUUUUAGUGUUUACGUAUUAGAAAGGGUUUUUGAGUGGUUCAUGAAUGUACUUCGAACUCCUAGCACAGUACUUGUUCAUAGUACUCAAGAAAUACUUGUUGAAUAAACGAAUCCCUCCAUAGCUGAAUAAAAGAAUUUACCUCUCUAAUUUUCCCUAUUUCAAACUACAUAUCUCUCUGUAAGUUCCUUUUGUUUUUUCCUUCUUCUUCCUUUCUUACCAGAGUCUCCAGCCUGUAAAUAUUCUUUAAUCUAUACUACCAUUGUUAGUAUCUAGUCUCUACCUCGUGGAAUAAUUUUGCAGAAAUCUCACCCAUCCUUUAAGACUCAACUGGCUUUUUCUUUUUUUAAUGAAAGUACUGGGGAUAGGACCUCACGCAUGCUGUGCGUGCUAAGCACAUGCUUUAUCACUGAGCUGUACCCCCAAGCUGCCUUCUUUAUGAAGACAUCUCUGAUCUUCCACAUGGACAUGAUCACCCUUCCUCCAAAUUCUAAUAAUAUCUUACUCGUAUCCCUUCAUAGUAUUUACUACUUUUUGUUUUAUACAAAGGAUACCAUAUCUCCAUACAAGAAAAUUCAUAAACUCCAUCGAGGGCAGAGACUUCUAAUUGACUGUUUUAUCCUUCAUAAGGUAUAGGAAUAGCAUCUUAUACACUGUACAUGAUGGACAAAUAUUUUUAAACUAAUGUCAACUUUAAUUUGAAGGAAACAAAUGGCUUUAAUUUCCAGUCUAUUGCUUAACUCUCCACUAGACCAUACUCUAUUAGUGUUGUUUUAAAAUUCUUUCAGUGAUGAGUAAGAACAUAGUUUGUUAAAUAAUCUUAAUUCUCAUCUAGGAAGAUACAAUGAAAUGUUACACCAUAAUUUGCAUACAUUACUAUUUAUAGUUCUACACUUUUUAUUCCAUGGAACCAAGGCUAUUUAAUGACUAGUCAAGACGUAAAAUUAUGCCCCAGUGAAAUAUUCCCACAGGAAAUGACUGAUGGUAGAGCUGCCAAUGGUGUCUAUAAACACAGCUUGAUCUCUAUCUCAGAAAUUGUUUCUAUUCCAACUCUCCGUUGCAAAAUCUUUUUAUUCUUUACCAUAGUUGUUAAGAAUACCAUAAGUUGCAUAUCUAUGUUAAAAUGAAUAGAAAAAUAGAACCUGGUCUUGACUGAACUUCGGCGUCUCAAUUCAACUUGCCAACUUCUUGAGUUCAGGAAUUAUGAAACACAUUGGCCAAUAUAAAAUAUUAUCCAUUGUUCUAAGCAUUGCUCGGAAGUAAGUUGGACGCUGCACAGCACACCUGAAUGUAAUGCUUUAAAGUUGAGACUGUUCUAUCACAUAAAUUCACAAUUUUUAAGAUGUAUUUUGAGUCACAACAGGAAUUAAAGCAGUCAUAUAGCUAUGUGAUGCUACUUAGUGACUUUAGAGAUGCAAAUCCCACUUUUCUGUAUGUGUAUAAGACUUCAAUAAAAAGUUUAUAAAACUGUAA